GCCUUCUUGGUGUAGUGGUCAGCACGCUCGACGCGUAUUCGAGAGAUCUGUGGUUCGAGUCCUGGAGAAGGUA
Molecule: non-coding RNA, 73 nt
Organism: Stegodyphus mimosarum
Lineage: Eukaryota; Metazoa; Arthropoda; Arachnida; Araneae; Eresidae
Source: Rfam